Molecule: small nuclear RNA, 111 nt
Organism: Otolemur garnettii (small-eared galago)
Lineage: Eukaryota; Metazoa; Chordata; Mammalia; Primates; Galagidae
Source: Ensembl
GUGCUCAACUUCAGCAGCUCAUAUACUAAAAUUGGAACAAUACAGAGAAGAUUAGCAUGCCUCCACCCCUGCAGGGAUGACAUACAAAUUCCUAAAGCCUUCCAUAUUUUA